Molecule: transfer RNA, 72 nt
Filed under: Sus scrofa (pig)
Lineage: Eukaryota; Metazoa; Chordata; Mammalia; Artiodactyla; Suidae
Rfam family: tRNA
About the family: Transfer RNA (tRNA) molecules are approximately 80 nucleotides in length. Their secondary structure includes four short double-helical elements and three loops (D, anti-codon, and T loops). Further hydrogen bonds mediate the characteristic L-shaped molecular structure. tRNAs have two regions of fundamental functional importance: the anti-codon, which is responsible for specific mRNA codon recognition, and the 3' end, to which the tRNAs corresponding amino acid is attached (by aminoacyl-tRNA synthetases). tRNAs cope with the degeneracy of the genetic code in two manners: having more than one tRNA (with a specific anti-codon) for a particular amino acid; and 'wobble' base-pairing, i.e. permitting non-standard base-pairing at the 3rd anti-codon position.
Source: Rfam by way of RNAcentral
UCCGUGGUGGUCUAGUGGUUAAGACUUGGCACUUUCACUGCUGUAGUCCAGGUUCAAUCCCUGGACUGGGAA